This is a long non-coding RNA of Triticum aestivum (bread wheat), 623 nucleotides long. RefSeq lists it as uncharacterized. The transcript has 3 exons. The record is from RefSeq and is a predicted model, not a curated record. NCBI's taxonomy places the organism in Eukaryota, Viridiplantae, Streptophyta, Magnoliopsida, Poales, Poaceae.
CUCUGCGCAUAUCAUGGCGGGUACAGCGGCCAAUCCCUGUAGAUCCGUACGCAGCCACGCCCCACGUUCCUCAGUCCCCACGCAAAUCGAUCGAUUUGUUUGCUCCGUUCUCCGGCACGCACCCAAGCACUCAGCCGGCAAGGCCGAUCGACGGCGGCACACCGCAACACCCACGGCGACGCCACGACCAGUCGCAUAGCCCAGGCGGGAGGCAGAUGAAGAUAGCAUCGGACAACAAUUCUGCCCCGGUAUACUAUGGGCAAGCUUCUUCUCAAGAGAAACCCAUCAUGAUAUCUGCUCCAAGAAACAUAAGUUGUGGACAAAAAUGUACUGAAAGGCUACGGACCCGUGGUCUUUGAUGACGACAUGAUGUAUUUUUGAAUUUGGAAAUGCAGGACUCCAUUUGCAAGUAAUCCAGUCCUUUGUUUCAUUAUUGUAGUAUAAGCAUAAUUGUUACCUUUUCGUAUUUAAAGAAUUGUCUUCUACUAAAUCUAAUAAUCUAAACCAAAAGUUAUAAAACAUACUCUUAUUUUUAAGUUGGAACAUUAUUGAUUUAAAAUUUAUGCAAUGUUAAAGGGAUACUAUUAAAGUGGUGCAUCAGGGUAACUUUAGCUCCAGCUCCG